CAUGUGUAGCAUGCCUUGUGGUUUUGCUUCAAAUUACGGAGGUAUUUGGUGCUUUAAUUGUGACUACCAUCUUAUUUCUGGGUAACUACAUUGUAGGGAACGGCGAUCGGAAGAUCUCGCGAUGGCACGGAAAGAGGAAGGAAGAGGAAGGAUAUGACGUAGAGAUAGCAGURUGCUUGUAGGUAUAUAAGCAAAUACAUGCGUACAAUAAACGCCAUUUGCAGCAUCCUCAUAUUGGUGUCAGUGCUCAUUGGCCCGGAGGCUGGGGGAGCCUCCGUGCCGUCUCAGGCGAACGGGAGAKUGUCGCAUCAGAAGGCGACAAGUGGUGACCCCGACGUGAUAGCUGAGACGGCRGACCGCAGGCGGUCGAGAGGAUCCGGAUCAUGGACGCGGUAGUUAAGGUUGUACGCGUGGGUGCCCGGGAAUGGGGGCUCUCUAUGAGAGCGGAUGCAGUUGCGAACUGUGUCGGGCGGCUCCUGAAAGAAGGAGCGAUAGUUAGACCAGGGGACAUUYUUUCCCCUUCUAACUGGGAGAAAUGCACUCGAGCGCUCGCUCAGAGAGCUAUGGCCACGAAGAAGGCUGCAGAGCUCAAGACAUGGGGAGACGUAAUGACCAUUUUACAAAGGACUAGGGAGGAGCGUGAGACCUGGCAGGCUGCUCGCGCGGUGCUGCACAUGUCCGCGGAAAUGGCGACACAGACAGCAGCGAACACAGAGGAGCGAACGGAGGUGAUAGAGGGGGAGGCAAAAACUCCAGAGGCUUACCCAAUAAUGCCCUCUUCUCCGCCACCGCCRYGGUACCCGUGGAAAGAGAUGAGGGCGAUGGAAGGGGGAGAACCAGGAGACCUUUGUGGAGACCGAGAUAUGUGAAAGCCAGUGGCGGGUAGAGGAAAAGAAAGCAAGGUGAAAGUGGAGGAGGCAGAAGAAAAGGAAAGACCGCUUAUAGUGGAUGAUCCCCRAGACUGGCURCCGGGGGCCAURAUUCGGGUGCAGUGGGAAGACGAAAGAAGAGAGGAAGCAGGGGAAAGACCGAGGGUGCCGCACCCGGGGAAAGAUGGCGCUGGCCGAGAGAGGAGUGGGCGUCGACCAGCACUGCGGAAGGAGGAGACUGAAGACUCAGGCACAGACUCUGACCCCUUAGAAGGAAUAACGAUGAAGAUGCAGCAACUAGGGCGGAGUUCCCCGCCGCAGUCAGAUGCGGAAGGAAAAAAGGGGAAGAAAGUCACAAGAGAUAUGGAGCAGAUGUUUAUGCUGCUUACAGCUCUGGAAGAGGAAAUAGCUAAACAAAGAGGGCUAUUAGAGGCAGCAGCUAAACAAAGAGGGCUAUUAGAGGCAGCAGGUUCCGCCCAAGCGGGAGGGGGAAAAGAAAUUCCUCUAACGGACUGGAAACUGAUAGCUACGGAAUGUGCCCUGAGUGGCCUCAAGUUUCGUGCGCCAAUAGGGGCCUUCCCAGUAUGAGUUGCCCCCGGGGGGGGGGGCAGUGGAAUGGGUGCCCCUCGACCCAAAGACGGUACAACAGCUAUUGAAAGCAGUAGAACUUGCAUCUUUACCAGACGCUGCAAAAGGAGCGGUGAUGUUGGAAUGUAUCAAACADCAGGGCAACGAGUUGACAAAAGAAAUCCUAAGAACAGCGCCUAAGGGAGCAAGUCUAGGGCAGACGAUCAAGUACGUAUUAGAACACCGGGACAAGACCACAGCCCUACAGAUUGCUGCAGCAGUUAUGGCAAUGCCGGAGGUUAGAGCUAGAGGAGGUCCAAAAGGAGGCCCAUGCUUUGGCUGCGGGCGAAUGGGCCAUUUGAGAGCACAGUGCACGAAUAAGGGAAGUUACGCGCGCCCAACAAGGGGUAUGGGGAGCCUUAGAUGCUGGGCC
Long non-coding RNA from Dromaius novaehollandiae (emu), 1869 nucleotides. Lineage: Eukaryota; Metazoa; Chordata; Aves; Casuariiformes; Dromaiidae. The record is from Ensembl.